Molecule: ribosomal RNA, 553 nt
Filed under: uncultured bacterium
Lineage: Bacteria
Description: bacterial SSU rRNA
Rfam family: Bacterial small subunit ribosomal RNA
Source: RNAcentral
AGAGUUUGAUCCUGGCUCAGGACGAACGCUGGCGGCAUGCCUAAUACAUGCAAGUCGAACGAGCUUCCGUUGAAUGACGUGCUUGCACUGAUCUCAACAAUGAAGCGAGUGGCGAACUGGUGAGUAACACGUGGGAAAUCUGCCCAGAAGCAGGGGAUAACACUUGGAAACAGGUGCUAAUACCGUAUAACAACAAAAUCCGCAUGGAUUUUGUUUGAAAGGUGGCUUCGGCUAUCACUUCUGGAUGAUCCCGCGGCGUAUUAGUUAGUUGGUGAGGUAAAGGCCCACCAAGACGAUGAUACGUAGCCGACCUGAGAGGGUAAUCGGCCACAUUGGGACUGAGACACGGCCCAAACUCCUACCGGAGGCAGCAGUAGGGAAUCUUCCACAAUGGACGAAAGUCUGAUGGAGCAAUGCCGCGUGAGUGAAGAAGGGUUUCGGCUCGUAAAACUCUGUUGUUAAAGAAAAACACCUUUGAGAGUAACUGUUCAGGGGUUGACGGUAUUUAACCAGAAAGCCACGGCUAAUUACGUGCCAGCAACCGCGGUAAUAC